This 735-nucleotide long non-coding RNA is filed under the name Elaeis guineensis (African oil palm). RNAcentral describes it as "long non-coding RNA (EGUI_LNC016601)". Lineage: Eukaryota; Viridiplantae; Streptophyta; Magnoliopsida; Arecales; Arecaceae. The record is from RNAcentral.
CUGAGACCGCUACGGUGACUUGCAAGCAACUCACUGCACUUAGGCACUGGACUACCUGAAUUUCUAAUUCAGUGACGGAAGGCUGUUGGGUGUAGUCAAGUACUUGACUUGUCGGUGCGUGUGUCAAGAUGGGAUUGACCACUCCAGUUUAGGAGCUGUGUAUAGUCGUGUUUCAAUUUAGCAAAAUCUUGACCAAGGUAGUCUUAGUGAGGAGUUACAGGACUAAUUGAGUUGAGCACGAUUCGGAUGAUCUCAUCAGGGUUGACAGUUUAACCCUGAGUCGUCCUAAACACAGGGGUCAAAAGGGAUGAAUUAUACGGUAACCAUAUUCACGUAGGUUCUGAAUGUUGCGAUUGUGAUUAUUCGACCUAUCCGGUCGUCGGGUACCAUUGCUAGAUGGUCACUUCGAUUAGUACAGGAAUUGGUUCCUGUGCUAUCGGUUUAGGUUCGAACCUGCGGGGUCACACACAUUAGAGGUUCCUUUCUGAUCUGAUGGCUGAUUAUGAGUCUUAUCUAUCUGGGACUCUAUGAUUGAGAAUUAUGAUUCUCUAAUCAUGUGUUCCACACAUUUUGGGUAUCGGGGUCAAAAUUUUGAAUUUCAAAUUUUGAAUUUGAAAUUUGAACUCUUUGAUCAGGGUUUCAUAUCGAUGGUCUCUGAUGCCUGAUUGCCCAUCGGAUUUGGACUCAAUAUUUAUGAGAAAUUUAAUUAGUAAUUUAAUCACUAAUUAACUCAAU